AGCCCACCCUCUGCACCUAGCCUUGUGACCUUACUGUGUCUUCCACAUUUUGGAAAAUCUCCUGGGCCUCCUCGAAGUCACAGAUCUCCUCCAUACACUCCCGUUCCAGGCUGCCUGGCCGCAUCUCUUCCAGGAAGCUGUUGGCACGUCUGACCCGAAGCACCUGGUGGGCAUGCUCGCUGCUGGAGAACACUGGGUCUGGUUUGGGAUGGGAGUCAAUGUGGUGGAGGGACCCAAGAGGGGCCGAGAGGGAUCAGAAGAUCCCCUGCUAGAGAGAACCUGGGAAGACCUCAGCCUGAUCCCUUUGGUCUUAUUCUAAUUCCCAGGAGGGAUGCUGGGGCCUGCUUUUAUGCUCUGGUCCCAGGUCCCCCUGGGAGAACAGCAGUUUGGAUCUUGCAGAGUAUGAGCUCUGAAACAGACAGACAGACUUCCUUUCAGGACAUGCCUAGGAUACUCAACAUGGUGUCUUUGUGUAGAACGUAGUGGUUAGGGGCAAUGCCAGAGCCUGCUGCUGCCAUUCAAACUGCAAAGUCGUAUGUGCGUGAAAAUAGCCUUGCAUAAUGUUGUCUAAUAAUAAAUAAAUAGCAGUG
This 590-nucleotide long non-coding RNA is filed under the name Mus musculus (house mouse). RNAcentral describes it as "long non-coding RNA chr18:32134815-32135405". The record is from RNAcentral. Lineage: Eukaryota; Metazoa; Chordata; Mammalia; Rodentia; Muridae.